This 803-nucleotide ribosomal RNA is filed under the name uncultured bacterium. RNAcentral's name for it is "bacterial SSU rRNA". It matches the Rfam family "Bacterial small subunit ribosomal RNA", at positions 62 to 821 of the family's 1533-position model. The record is from RNAcentral.
UCGAACGCGUCUCCGUUAAUGAUUUUAGGUGCUUGCACUUGAAAGAUUUAACAUUGAGACGAGUGGCGAACUGGUGAGUAACACGUGGGUAACCUGCCCUUGAAGUAGGGGAUAACACUUGGAAACAGGUGCUAAUACCGUAUAACAACCAAAACCACCUGGUUUUGGUUUAAAAGACGGCUUCGGCUGUCACUUUAGGAUGGACCCGCGGCGCAUUAGCUUGUUGGUAAGGUAACGGCUUACCAAGGCGAUGGUACGUAGCCGACCUGAGAGGGUAAUCGGCCACAUUGGGACUGAGACACGGCCCAAACUCCUACGGGAGGCAGCAGUAGGGAAUCUUCCACAAUGGACGAAAGUCUGAUGGAGCAACGCCGCGUGAGUGAUGAAGGGUUUCGGCUCGUAAAACUCUGUUGUUGGAGAAGAACAGGUGUCAGAGUAACUGUUGACAUCUUGACGGUAUCCAACCAGAAAGCCACGGCUAACUACGUGCCAGCAGCCGCGGUAAUACGUAGGUGGCAAGCGUUGUCCGGAUUUAUUGGGCGUAAAGCGAGCGCAGGCGGUUUUUUAGGUCUGAUGUGAAAGCCUUCGGCUUAACCGGAGAAGUGCAUCGGAAACCGGGAGACUUGAGUGCAGAAGAGGACAGUGGAACUCCAUGUGUAGCGGUGAAAUGCGUAGAUAUAUGGAAGAACACCAGUGGCGAAGGCGGCUGUCUGGUCUGUAACUGACGCUGAGGCUCGAAAGCAUGGGUAGCGAACAGGAUUAGAUACCCUGGUAGUCCAUGCCGUAAACGAUGAGUGCUAAGU